This 350-nucleotide long non-coding RNA is filed under the name Homo sapiens (human). Its description in RNAcentral is "HSALNT0222822". The record is from RNAcentral. Lineage: Eukaryota; Metazoa; Chordata; Mammalia; Primates; Hominidae.
GUUCUUCAUGCCUCUAAGUCCAUUCUUUGGGUUUGGACAGGUGAGCAUGUUUCUCACAACCUGGGGGCCUGUCUGGGAUCUCUGUGCCUGCAUGGAGUGGGACUCUGGCCAAGAGGGGAGACAUGUCCUACUCAAUUUAGGUGGCCUGCUCUGUCGGGCAUCCCGGCUCCCCACAGAAGCCAUAGACAAACCCAAGACUUAUUCAGGAGACAGUUGAGAUGACACAGGGAGAAAAGCGGGCAUCGUGGCAACCAGGCAACCUUGUGUGUGAGCCAAGGUGGAAAAUUGGACUGUUAAAAAGACUUCUAACUCAAACUCCACCUCUUAAGUUUGUGGUUCACCACUUCCAG